This is a long non-coding RNA of Gossypium arboreum, 363 nucleotides long. RefSeq lists it as uncharacterized. The record is from RefSeq and is a predicted model, not a curated record. The transcript is spliced from 2 exons. Lineage: Eukaryota; Viridiplantae; Streptophyta; Magnoliopsida; Malvales; Malvaceae.
UGCUCAUACCGCCGCGUCUGACUCCGAUCCGGCAGAUAAGGCCGGUGAAGUCCUCCUUGACUACGUUGCUGGCCAACCCCAACUUGCUGUUGACACCAGUUACAAGCCUGAGUAGAACUUUCAAGCCUUUACUCUGAUUUUGGUGGAGUUACAUCAUCAACAUCAACAUCCUUGAUCACAUCAUCCAGAUCCUUCAUGGCAACUGAAAUAUCAUCUUGUUUGAUCUUUCCUUUUUCUUUUAGCUUAUAUAAGAUCAUAUCAGCAGCCCUGUCAAAAAUAAAUUAAUAAGCAAAUGUUACUUUGUGUUAUUGAAGUGAUUUUAUGGGGAAUUCUUUCAGCAAUUAAGUAAAUCUUACCCAUAAA